UUCCUGGCGUCAGGAUGAACGGCUGGCGGCGUGCCUAAUACAUGCAAGUCGAGCGAAUGACGAGGAGCUUGCUCCUCUGAUUUAGCGGCGGACGGGUGAGUAACACGUGGGUAACCUGCCUGUAAGACGGGGAGUAACUCCGGGAAACCGGGGCUAAUACCGGAUAUAAAGGAAAUGCAUAUUCCUUUUUGAAAGUCGGCAUCUCGCUGACACUUACAGAUGGGCCCGCGGCGCAUUAGCUAGUUGGUGAGGUAAUGGCUCACCAAGGCGACGAUGCGUAGCCGACCUGAGAGGGUGAUCGGCCACACUGGGACUGAGACACGGCCCAGACUCCUACGGGAGGCAGCAGUAGGGAAUCUUCGGCAAUGGGCGAAAGCCUGACCGAGCAACGCCGCGUGAGCGAUGAAGGCCUUCGGGUCGUAAAGCUCUGUUGUUAGAGAAGGACAAGUACGAGAGUAACUGCUCGUACCUUGACGGUACCUAACCAGAAAGCCACGGCUAACUACGUG
This 509-nucleotide ribosomal RNA is filed under the name uncultured Bacillaceae bacterium. Its description in RNAcentral is "bacterial SSU rRNA". It matches the Rfam family "Bacterial small subunit ribosomal RNA", at positions 16 to 507 of the family's 1533-position model. Lineage: Bacteria; Bacillati; Bacillota; Bacilli; Caryophanales; Bacillaceae. The record is from RNAcentral.